Molecule: ribosomal RNA, 253 nt
Filed under: uncultured bacterium
Lineage: Bacteria
Description: partial 16S ribosomal RNA
Rfam family: Bacterial small subunit ribosomal RNA
Source: RNAcentral
UACGUAGGGGGCUAGCGUUGUCCGGAUUUAUUGGGCGUAAAGAGCGUGUAGGCGGCCAGGUAGGUCUGCUGUGAAAACUCGAGGCUCAACCUCGAGAUGUCGGCGGAAACCAUCUGGCUAGAGUCCGGAAGAGGAGAGUGGAAUUCCUGGUGUAGCGGUGAAAUGCUCAGAUAUCAGGAAGAACACCCGUGGUGAAGGCGGCUCUCUGGGACGGUACUGACGCUGAGACGCGAAAGCGUGGGGAGCGAACAGG